This is a non-coding RNA of Zootermopsis nevadensis, 11106 nucleotides long. Lineage: Eukaryota; Metazoa; Arthropoda; Insecta; Blattodea; Termopsidae. The record is from RefSeq and is a predicted model, not a curated record.
AGUAUCCGGGAACUUCACCAUAGUAGACAUGGCGGGUAUUAACUUUCGUGAAUGACGGUAAUUGUAAUAGAAUUAUUGCCAGAAAAUUGUGUACUUGUGAUUGCUUAAGCUUAACAACGCAGUUUGAUGUUAUUUAAAAUUUAGUAAAGUUAAAAAUGCAGAAUGUAGCACAAGGAUCCACUACAGAUAACCAAAAGCUUGAAAAAGUAAACGUUCAGCACGAUAUAGGGAAAUCGUCGACUCCCAUAUCUUCUAACUCUAGCCCGACGAAGUCUGAAACAGAGACAUUUUCAGAAUUACAACCAAGAUUUAUGACCGAUUCAUCGGAAAGUGAAGAGGAGGACGUGUCUGAGGUUGAAUCAUUUGUGAUAGAUCAGGUUGAAUUGGACGAAGACGCACGGCUCGAAACGUCCAAGUUCCUUUUGACACCAGAGGAUACAGAUCAUUCAGUAGAUCCAGAAACGCAGGCAAGGUUGGAGGCUCUGCUUGAAGCUGCAGGUAUUGGGAAGUUGUCUACAGGGGAUGGAAAACAUCUAGCAGAUCCUGAAGUUCUUCGACGCUUGACCUCGAGUGUUUCCUGUGCAUUGGAUGAAGCUGCAGCAGCUCUUACUCGUAUGAGAAGUGAGAAUCCACGUCCACAAACGGAAACAAGAUCUUUAGUGGAAGCGUGUUCAGACGGUGAUGUCGGGACAGUGAGAAAGCUGCUGACAGAGGGUCGCAGUGUACACGAAACAACUGAGGAAGGGGAAAGUUUGCUGUCCUUAGCCUGUUCUGCAGGCUAUUACGAAUUAGCUCAAGUGUUGCUUGCAAUGCAUGCCAAUGUGGAGGAUCGUGGCAUCAAGGGAGACUGCACUCCCUUGAUGGAGGCUGCAUCAGCUGGUCAUGUGGACAUUGUUCGCCUUCUCAUCGCCCAUGGAGCUGAUGUCAAUGCACAGUCUUCAUCAGGCAACACACCCCUAAUGUAUGCAUGUGCUGGUGGUCACGAGGAAGUGGUUUGUACUUUGCUUGUUGCUGGAGCCAAUGUUGAAGACCACAAUGAGAAUGGACACACACCUCUCAUGGAAGCUGCCAGUGCAGGCCAUGUUGGUGUUGCAAAGUUCUUGUUACAGAUCCUGUUAGAACAUGGAGCUGGAAUCAACACCCAUUCAAAUGAGUUCAAGGAAUCUGCUCUUACGUUGGCAUGCUAUAAGGGGCAUUUAGACAUGGUGCGCUUUCUUCUGGAAGCCGGAGCAGAUCAGGAACAUAAAACUGACGAGAUGCACACAGCACUGAUGGAAGCAUCAAUGGAUGGCCAUGUAGAAGUUGCAAGAUUAUUGUUGGAUUCUGGAGCUCAGGUUAAUAUGCCAACCGAUAGCUUUGAAUCUCCUUUAACACUGGCUGCAUGUGGAGGGCACGUUGACCUGGCAAUGCUGCUCAUAGAGAGAGGUGCCAACAUUGAAGAAGUGAAUGAUGAAGGCUACACACCACUAAUGGAAGCUGCUAGAGAAGGUCAUGAAGAAAUGGUUGCUCUCUUGCUUAGUCAAGGUGCUAACAUCAAUGCACAGACAGAAGAAACUCAAGAAACAGCCCUUACCUUGGCCUGUUGUGGCGGAUUUACUGACGUGGCUGACUUUUUAAUCAAAGCAGGAGCAGACAUUGAAUUAGGUGCAUCUACACCCCUCAUGGAGGCUGCUCAGGAAGGGCACCUGGAACUUGUCAAGUAUUUGCUUGAAGCUUCUGCAGAUGUCCAUGCCCAGACCCAAACUGGAGACACAGCUCUGACUUACGCUUGUGAGAAUGGUCAUACAGAUGUGGCAGACCUCCUGCUGCAGUAUGGAGCUGACUUGGAGCAUGAAUCAGAAGGAGGUCGCACUCCGUUAAUGAAAGCCUGUCGAGCCGGUCACCUGUGCACAGUACAGUUUCUGAUUUCUAAGCGAGCAGAUGUCAACAGGCAAACAACCAAUAAUGACCACACUCCACUUUCCUUGGCAUGUGCUGGCGGUCACUUAGCUGUGGUGGAACUUCUGUUAGCCCAGUCAGCUGAUCCUUUCCACAAGCUAAAGGACAAUUCAACAAUGCUGAUCGAGGCAGCUAAGGGUGGACAUACGAGUGUAGUGCAGCUUCUCCUGGACUACCCUCAUUCAAUCAUGAUGACUACUCCUCACCCUCACAAUACGACAGUGGCAGCAGGAGUGAGUGGUGCCCAGACCCAGACUGUAACUGGAGCUGUGUCAAGCACAGGAGGGCUCCAUGAAGUACCUGAGGCAGUCAGGGUGGUUUCUCAGGAUGAUCUUCAGGUUAAUGCCAACCAGACCAUGGUAGCGGCCAAAUCUGCUGGUAGCCAAGCAGGUCGACUAGUAGAACAUCUAGUGCAGCAAAAGCAGAAGUCUGUUCUUCGUAAAAGUCGAUCCUCAUCUGUGAUGAACGAGAACAACUUAACCUCUCCCGAAGUCCAACAAGUUCGAAACCAGCCUCUUGGAGACAGUGUAGCUAGUCUAAUACCUGUUAGUCUCGUAGCCAAGGAUGAUAGCAAUAUUCUUGACAAGGGCAGUACUACAGAUAUGGACAAGGUGAGGAAGCAGCAGUGUGCAGAAAAUACUAUCAUUCAGAAGCAGGCAAUCCUAGAAGAACUGCAGAGGGUAGAGCGUGAGCUGCAGGAGAAAGGACCAAGUCAGUUGCUCCUUAGUUCUCCACUGCCAGAGGGCAGCACUUCGGCACAGUUUGCAUCACUGGGCAUGGCUGCUGUUCCAGGGGUAUCAGUUUCAACUGCCACGCUUGUUCCGGGAGUGCAGCCAUUGGGUUUGAACAUUGAUCUAGCAUCCCAGUCCAUAGCUACACAAGGGAUGGUUUGUGGUUCUGCCAUCUCAGGACCAUUGUUCCAUCCGGGACCGAACACCACCAUUUCGGUCCAUAAUGCUUUCUACACUGGGAAGAUCCAACAGUCACAGCCACCUCUGCAAACUUCUGCAGCCAGCAGUGCCUGCAUGCAGCAGCAGGCUUUGACAGUGAGUGGAGAAGUGAGCAGUGGUGGAAGCUUUGUGUCUGUUGCCUCGGGUGUGUACUCCUCACCCCCACACUUAACCCAGGUCCAACAGCAGCAGCAGCCAGUUUCACCCUCACAGCCUAUCACUGCGAGUUCUGAUGUUUUGCAGGCAACUGCUAUUAGUGAUCGGCCAAAAGCCAAACCUACAAAGACUCAAGGGAAGAACAGUCGUAAGGCCUACCAACCUGUGCAGCAGCAACAACAACAUAGUCAACAUUUUCACCCUUUCCCUUACAGUCAUGAACUUCCACAACAGAUCUUACAACAACAACAACAACAACAGCCGCCUCCACCGCCGCCGCCACCUCCCCCACCACCACCUCCACCACCACCAAUGCAAUCAGCGCAGCAGACGUUGGACCAAGAAGAUCAUCUCCAGCAACAGCAGCUGGUGUCUCAGCAUCAGCAGUCCCUGUGCAAGAGCAGCCUGCAGAGUGCAGCCAUGAUGACUCGGUCCCAGUUGGUGGCUCACUUGCAACAGCUGGAUCCUAACAUUUCCCCAGCCACUCAACAGCUUACCCAAGUGUUGCAGCAGAAACAUCAGCAGCUGAGGUCUCUUCAGCAGCAGAUUCCUUCUGGUAAUGUGGAGCAUGCAGAUCUAGUUGGACUACUUUCAGAGCAGCAACAACGCUCUCCAGUAUUUUCUAUUGGUGCAGAGGAUGUUUUGGCUGAUGCAGAAAAGCCUGUCAAGACAGAAGAUGCAAGCAGAAUUGAUUUAGACGAAGCAAUGGAUGAAGUAGCACAAACAUUUAGUGGGUUUGAUAUUGAGGGUAUGACACUGGCUGACAGAGAGGAGAUUAAACUGCAGAUGCAGCAGCCAUCUGUUCAGCAGUUCACUGGAAGUCAGGCUGUACUGGAGGAGGCAAUUUCAGUAAUGGUAGCGUCACAGGCCCCCGUCCAAGUUGGAACCACUCAGACAGAUGCACGAGUUGAGUACUUCCCUGUUCCAUCAAGUGGUUCUCAGAUUCCAGCUUUACAGGUUCAGCAUGGAUCCAGCCUUCAUCUGCAGUAUCCACAGUACCACUUAUCUCCUGGUCUCCAAGUUACUGGAGGAGGGUCUCUUGAAGUUGCUGGUGGGAUUCAGAUCACCAAUGGUGGUGGAACGCCCCUUCAGACAACUCAGAUUCUUAAUCCACAGCUGCAGUCUGUUCCAGGGACAGCUUUCCCAUCUCAACUGUUACUGCAGACACCCCGGCUUGCAUUUUCUGGUCAAGCAUUACCGCCAUCCGAGCCGACGCAUGCGACCAUAGCAUCUCCAAGUACCACGGCGCAGUAUGUGCAGCCUUCGUGCAUGAACCAUCAAGUUCAAGUGGCAACACAGACUACGACAGACAAGAAAGGGGCGGCAACAUCGUCGACAGGAUCUGGCCCUGGGGCAGGAGCAGGUUCAGUAGGGAAGGGGAAGAAAAAUCGCUACCAGUUCCAGCAACGCCAGUCACAAAAUCAACAACAAGUUCAACAAAAUGCUGCAACUUUUGGCUCACAAAACAUAGCCCAGCAAAACUACCAGAUAGAUCCUAACACAGGUGUUGGGCAGUAUCCUUCGAGCAGCCCACACUCAGGCACGCAAUGCCUGCAAGCUCCGUUCUCCUGUAUGGAUGUGGACUCUGAGACUGACAGCAACCAUGACACUGCCCUCACAUUGGCUUGUGCUGGAGGUCAUGAGGAAUUGGUAGAACUGCUGCUGUCUCGAGGUGCUGACAUUGAACACCGUGAUAAGAAGGGUUUCACUCCACUAAUUCUAGCAGCUACAGCAGGCCAUGAAAAAGUGGUAGAAAUUCUCCUAACACAUGGGGCUGAUAUCGAAGCUCAGUCAGAAAGAACUAAAGACACACCCCUGUCCUUGGCAUGCUCAGGUGGCCGAUAUGAGGUUGUGGAGUUGCUGUUGACACGAGGAGCAAAUAAGGAACAUCGCAAUGUGUCCGAUUAUACUCCUCUUAGUCUGGCUGCUUCAGGUGGAUAUGUAAACAUUAUAAAACUUUUGUUAGCACAUGGAGCUGAGAUCAACUCAAGAACAGGCAGCAAACUUGGCAUUUCACCCCUCAUGUUGGCAGCAAUGAAUGGCCAUACAGCUGCUGUGAAGCUGCUGUUGGAUAUGGGUAGUGAUAUCAAUGCCCAGAUAGAAACAAAUCGCAACACUGCUCUUACACUCGCUUGUUUCCAAGGAAGGCACGAAGUGGUCAGUCUUCUCCUUGAUAGGAAAGCAAAUGUAGAACAUCGGGCUAAAACUGGUUUGACUCCGCUCAUGGAAGCUGCAAGUGGUGGCUAUGUAGAGGUGGGAAGAGUGCUGUUGGACAAAGGUGCAGAUGUGAAUGCCCCUCCUGUUCCAUCAUCACGAGAUACCGCACUUACAAUCGCGGCUGACAAAGGUCAUUGCCGAUUUGUAGAACUCUUGCUGUCCAGGGGUGCCCAGGUAGAAGUAAAGAACAAGAAAGGCAACUCUCCUUUGUGGUUAGCAGCAAAUGGUGGCCAUCUGAAUGUGGUUGAACUAUUAUACAAUGCAGGAGCAGACAUCGACUCUCAAGAUAACAGAAAGGUGUCAUGUUUGAUGGCAGCCUUCAGGAAAGGGCACAUGAAAGUAGUGAAGUGGAUGGUGAACCAUGUAACACAGUUUCCAAGUGACCAGGAAAUGACUCGGUACAUUUCUACUGUCAGUGACAAGGAACUUCUUGAGAAGUGCCAGGACUGCGUGAAAAUUAUCAGAGCUGCAAAAGAUCAACAAGCAGCGAAGGCCAAUAAGAAUGCUAGUAUACUACUAGAGGAAUUAGACAUGGAGAAGACGCGGGAAGAGUCCAAGAAGGCAGCAGCUGCAAGGAGGCGAGAGAGGAAAAAGAAGAAGAAACUUGAAAAGAAAGAGGAAAAAAGAAAGCUGCAUGAGGAGAAUAAAAAGAAUGAAAUCUUGUAUCAAGAAAAUGAACAGACAAAUAAAAAAUCCACUGAACAUGAAGUUGAAAGACCAGAGGAAAGUGAAAAAGAAGUAUCUGAAGCUCGCUGUGGGGGUAGUUCUCCUGGUGCUGACUCUCCUGUUCGAAAUGGUGAACCAAUGGACAAGGAGGAAGGAGAUAGUGGGAUUGAUGCCAACAGUCAAGGUAGUUGUAGCAGUAAUGACGUAAAGUCAAAAGAGAAGCGUAAAGACAAGAAAAAGAAGAAGAGUAAUGCUGCUGGUGGAGCAGGUUGCAGCAAGAGUGGCGAUAAGGAAUGCUCUUCUACUGUCUCACCAGGAGUUGACACCGCUGUAAGCCGAACAGUGGUACCAGUGAGCAGCAAGCCCCGUGAUGCCCAAGUGCUUGCAGAGACCAAGGACAAGCGAGGUCGGAGCGAGACGGAUGUUACUGCCGGCCAUACGACCUCACAAGCUUCCAGUGAUAAUAGCAGUAAUGCUGUGGGUGGUGGCAAGCUCAGCAGUCGGGGAACUGUGACAGGAGAGAGGAAGCUAAAAGGCCACCUUGUGUUUGAAGCUUCCAGACCACAUCCAGCAGAGAGGGAAGAUUUUGAGGCAACUGGUAAUGAGACGUACAUACCUGCUACAAAAGGAAAGAAGACCUAUAUAAAUCAUUACUGUGAGGGUGAUUCAAAUUCGGGUUCGUGUGCUGGCAAGAACUCGAUGGUGUCUUCGACAAGCCCAAAACAGGGAGGCAAGAGAGAAGAAGGUUGGAAGGAGGUAGUUAGGAAGUAUUUAAAUUCCCCAUUCAGGUCCAAGAAGGUGUCUGUACCACUGAAUGCAAUAAGUCGAGUUAUUGGUCGUGGAGGAAGCAACAUUAAUGCAAUUCGAGGAGCCACUGGUGCACAUAUUGAGGUAGAGAAGCAGAGCAAAGGACAAGGAGAAAGAAUAAUCACAAUAAAAGGCUCUGCUGAUGCAACUCGUCAAGCUCACAACUUGAUAGCUGCAUUAAUAAAAGAUCCUGAUGUGGACAUUCUUCAGAUGCUGCCAAAAUCAACAAAGUUGGCUGUUGUGUCAGUGUCAUCAUGGGACAAAUCAUCAGCAGUGGCAUCAAAAGCCAAAUCUUCAGUAAUCAAGUCGAGUGGUAGUACGAGUGUGCAGGGCUCAUCUUUACUUGGAGCUGGUCCCACAUCAUUGAUGGCCAAACCUGUCUCAGCUGUUGUUGGAGCACCAGUACCGUUGAUUCCUCUUCGCUCAACAUCAUCAGCCAAACUUGGAGGAUCGUUUCCACCUCCAGUAACAAGGGGCACAGCUCCUCGUCUUGUGGCUGCUGCCGAGAAACGUGCAGCAGCGCAGAUGGCAGCUGCCUCCAACACAAAAACCACAAUGUCAUACACGACUGCAAUCAUGACUUCUGGGAAACCAACAAAGAUGGUGACAAGUACCACCACCCAGACAUUUGCUGCUAAGCUGACAGAAGCUACAGCAACGUUACAGCUUCCGUCUGCCGUUGCUUCAGCGGCUGUUUCUGGGAAAUCUCGAACGUCUCACUCCCAGAUGUGUACCACACAGUCCUUGUCCACCACGUCUGCACCUUCCCAGGGUUCCUGCCAGCAGCAGGUAACCGUAACAGCAGCAGCGUCCUCUGUACCAUCACCCAAACAUCACAGGCCUGUGCCUGCUGCAUCUGCCCCCCCUUGCAUCCCAGGACAGUACCAGAUGACUCCUGGCAAGGCACCAUUCUCAUCUACUGGUCCAAUUUGCAUGUCAAAUCCACCUUCCCAAGUACCGUCGGCCAACGUUCCUGUUGCACCGUCUGUUGUGAAUUCCAGUAAUCAGGGUAGAAGCAGUACCCCUCUGAAUCAGCCAUCAGACCAGCAUCAACAUCAGGCAGUUCCAGUGCCAGUGCCAGUUCAAGCCAGUACCCCACUGGAAUACUCUCUGUUCAAUGAUAGUUUUACUAAGGUUACGCAGCAAUCAAUGUGGGGUCGAGACAAUGAAAACUCUCAGAAAGGGAUGAAUUUUGCAAGUGUAGCUGCUACAGGAGCAGUAGCUGGUAAUGGAGCUGGGGUCACAGGAGGAAAAUUCAUUGAUAGCGUUCCACCACAGGUGGAUGCAGCCAAGGCUCCAGGUUACCGUGGCACUAUUGUUUGUUCUCCUGUAUCUUCUAAAACAAGUAGCAACAGCACCACUCCUCCUUCUUUACCAUUGGCUCCAGGAUCAUCAUUUCAAGCUGCCAGUGUCUUCUCAACAGAGCAGUGUGUGCCUCACUCAUCAGGCCCUGUGAUGACCAUGGCUGCUAAGCAACCACCUGUACAAGCAACCCAUGGUGUCCUUGCAGUUGCACGUCCAGGCUCAAGCAGCAACAUGCUCGACAUGCAUCCUAACUCAGGAAAUUCAGGAUCAAAUCUCAAUGUUGGAAUUGUUGGCCAGCAGCCACCUUCUCAUAUGGACGGCGGUCCCUUAGCGCCGCCCCCGUUCGGAAAUCGAGCCAUCUUUCAGAGUGGAGAGCUUCCGCCUCAAACAGUUUCCGGCCAGCAGCACGGCAUCAUUGUGUCUUCAUCACAGUCCACACUAGAUCACAGUGCCCUUUAUACCCCUGUGUCUGCGCCAGGGUAUGGACCAGAUCCUCAGAGUCAUAAUGCAGCUUUGCUCAAGAUGGUACAAGGAGGUGACAGUCAGUCAGUCCCACAACAACAGCAACCUCAACAACAGCCACAGCAACAACAACAUCCAAUGUUAAGUUCCUACCAUCACCAGCAUUCACAUCACCAUCCUAUGAGCUAUUCCCAGACAAAGCCUAACUUGGGUGUUUCCUCGUCCCAAGUAAACACCAACACAACAGUGAGCAUGUCUCGUCUGAAUCCAAGUGCACCUGACUUUUCCCUCCACCUUGCCAACAAACCUCAGCAGCAGCAGCAGCAACAACCUCCACCACAACCACCACCCCAGCAACAACAACAACAACCACCACCACCACCACAGCAGCAGCAGCCGCCACCACCACCACCCCCACAACAAGGGGGCAAUAUAUUUAGUGCCACCACAACAUUCCAUCAGAGAGCGAGCAUGUUGCCUCCUUCAUCGCUGCAGACUUCAGCAUCUGCCCUAGGCACUAUGUUACCCAAUAUCUCAUUCCCAAUAGGGAAAUCCUCUCUUGGCCCAUACCACCACCAGCCACUGCCGGCCCCAGGCCCAGGCCCUGCUGCUAACGGCCAGAGGUGGCCAUUGUUCCAGCCCCCAUACCAUCAUCCACAUCAUCCUCCUGAUGUUAUGGGUCAGAUGAGUUUUUCCGGUAACAUGGCACACUUGGCGUCUCUUGCUGCAAGCUUAGCACACCCUGGAAACAGUGGUGCUGCAGCAGAUAUAUUGGCAGGCUUAGAGAAUGGAGCUAUGGUAGGAGGAGGGAAUUCUCCUGCGAUGUCUCCGUCAUCUCCUGCCAGUGUAAAUCCUGGCCCUGCAGGUGAGCCCAACCACCACAAACUGGAAGAUCGCAAGAUUCCACCACGACCGAUAGGCACCGAACGUGCCAGUUGGAAGAAUAAUUAUGGAAACAUGAGUGGAGUGGGAGCUGGUGGGGACUUGGACCCCAACUGGAUGCUUGGUGGAGGUGAUCCAAAGAUGCCUGUCUCGUCAUGGGUGGGUGCUGGGAUGAGCCAUAAUAUGGAAAGGCACCAGAUAUAUAGGGCCAAUGCCCCACACUACGGGCGAUUGCCACCAGCAGAUGAACUGCCCCACAUUAUGGAUGCAAACUUCCAGCCUGGACAUUCUGAGAACCAGCAUUCAUUCCACAAUGGAGGAAGUGUGGCUGCCCUGUCCCUGAUGCACCAUGGUCUGCCAUUGUUACCACAUUACAGUACUGGAGCAAAUCUAGGGACAGACAUGACAGCUGCAGAUGGAAUUAAAAUGGAAGCACCAAGCUGGGAAGGAAGUCGUCUAGGCAUAGCAGAUAUACAAGAGAAGCAACAGGGCUGGAACACGAAGUGGAGUCACUAAAUCUCGGUGGAAUUAGCAGAAGAAUUGUGCAGAUGUGGAGAUAGUAAAGACGUAACUCUUCUGAGUAUCUACUUUUUUUUUUUAAUGAAAUAUGUCCAUCUGUAGCUAAGAAAUAUGCUUUGGUCUUUUCAUCUAGUGUUUGGGAUACAAAACUUUGGUAGCUGUGUUAGAAUUUCCUUCUGGUAAACCUUCCUGCAGUCUAUAGAGUUUAUUUGGUUUAUAAGUACAGUCACUGUUCUUCAUUUCUCCCAACUCUGAUUUUUCUGCUGUUUGAUGGCUGAGCCACAAUAUACUUGAAAUGCAUAAUAUUGUAAAGCAAGUCUGCUUGUUCCUGGUCAUUGAGCUUGUGUUGUGAAUGUCGCCUUGGCUGACUCGACAAUGAAUCCUCUCCCUUGUUAAUGAUAGAUGACAUGGGUGUUCCAGUGGCAUGGCCGGUACAUCUCCAGUGUGGCGAUGAUUUAGCGCCAAGACAUGUCAAAAAUGUAGAAGUUAGUAUUUACAUGAUUCGGUGUACAUAACUAUUUUGGAACCAGGAAAUAUUGUAGCUCCUCCUUCGAAAGUAAGUUCUUUGCAUGUUUCAUCCUUGGUUUGAUAAUUGCUUUGUAGUUUACAAAAUAAAUGAUUGUAAAAAUUUGAUUGCAGUGACAGUAUAUAUUUUUUUGUAGUCAUGUGUUUUGACUUUGUUUUUCUGUUAGUGAGGGAAUUGUCAUCAGUCUUCAGUUUUCUGAGAUGAUCCAAUAUAAAGUACAGUCACAGUCUUAGCUUGGACAGAAGUGAUCUAUUAUAUAGUAGUUUUGCUGCGUGUAGGUUUGGCUGAUCUUGAAGCCAGGGUUAUGGCGGGAUUUGUUCAAGUGUUCAUAACUUAUAGUGAUUUGGGACACUUUAUGUUUUCCAUACAUAUUUUGAAUUGAUUAUAUUAUUACAUGUAAGUACCAGAGAGAAGACAAAACAGAGAUGGUAGACAGGAAAGAGAGAGGAGUUUACUAACAUUUCUUGCCUUUGUGUUUUGUUAAUCUCAUUUUAAUGGGUGCAUUUUGCCCCCAUUUUGCUAGGAAGAUGAUGUAUCUUCUAUGGGCUGAGAGGCAUGAUAUGGUCCUUCAAAGUUAUUGCCUUAUCUGCACAAGUAGCACUUGGAGGGACAUUCAGUAAAGGAAUCUGUAAUAUUGCUUGUACAUGAAGACUUAAAAUAUAUCUUUAUGCACUGUGA